RNAcentral lists this ribosomal RNA (495 nucleotides) under uncultured bacterium. Its description in RNAcentral is "partial 16S ribosomal RNA". It matches the Rfam family "Bacterial small subunit ribosomal RNA", at positions 28 to 505 of the family's 1533-position model. The record is from RNAcentral.
GAUGAACGCUGGCGGCGUGCCUAAUACAUGCAAGUCGAGCGAACAGACGAGGAGCUUGCUCCUCUGACGUUAGCGGCGGACGGGUGAGUAACACGUGGAUAACCUACCUAUAAGACUGGGAUAACUUCGGGAAACCGGAGCUAAUACCGGAUAAUAUAUUGAACCGCAUGGUUCAAUAGUGAAAGACGGUUUUGCUGUCACUUAUAGAUGGAUUCGCGCCGCAUUAGCUAGUUGGUAAGGUAACGGCUUACCAAGGCAACGAUGCGUAGCCGACCUGAGAGGGUGAUCGGCCACACUGGAACUGAGACACGGUCCAGACUCCUACGGGAGGCAGCAGUAGGGAAUCUUCCGCAAUGGGCGAAAGCCUGACGGAGCAACGCCGCGUGAGUGAUGAAGGUCUUCGGAUCGUAAAACUCUGUUAUUAGGGAAGAACAAAUGUGUAAGUAACUAUGCACGUCUUGACGGUACCUAAUCAGAAAGCCACGGCUAACUACG